GGGUUUAGAACGUCGUGAGACAGUUCGGUCCCUAUCUGCCGUGGGCGCUGGAGAACUGAGGGGGGCUGCUCCUAGUACGAGAGGACCGGAGUGGACGCAUCACUGGUGUUCGGGUUGUCAUGCCAAUGGCACUGCCCGGUAGCUAAAUGCGGAAGAGAUAAGUGCUGAAAGCAUCUAAGCACGAAACUUGCCCCGAGAUGAGUUCUCCCUGACUCCUUGAGAGUCCUGAAGGAACGUUGAAGACGACGACGUUGAUAGGCCGGGUGUGUAAGCGCAGCGAUGCGUUGAGCUAACCGGUACUAAUGAACCGUGAGGCUUAACCUU
This 324-nucleotide ribosomal RNA is filed under the name Pseudomonas aeruginosa. Its description in RNAcentral is "partial 23S ribosomal RNA". It matches the Rfam family "Bacterial large subunit ribosomal RNA", at positions 2607 to 2925 of the family's 2925-position model. RNAcentral also lists the same sequence under 1 other name. Lineage: Bacteria; Pseudomonadati; Pseudomonadota; Gammaproteobacteria; Pseudomonadales; Pseudomonadaceae. The record is from RNAcentral.